UGGGGAAUAUUGCACAAUGGAGGGAACUCUGAUGCAGCGACGCCGCGUGAACGAAGAAGGCUUUCGAGUCGUAAAGUUCUUUUAUAUGGGAAGAUAAUGACGGUACCAUAAGAAAAAGCCCCGGCUAACUACGUGCCAGCAGUCGCGGUAAUACGUAGGGGGCUAGCGUUGUCCGGAAUCACUGGGCGUAAAGGGUUCGCAGGCGGAAAUGCAAGUCAGGUGUAAAAGGCAGUAGCUUAACUACUGUAAGCAUUUGAAACUGCAUAUCUUGAGAAGAGUAGAGGUAAGUGGAAUUUUUAGUGUAGCGGUGAAAUGCGUAGAUAUUAAAAAGAAUACCGGUGGCGAAGGCGACUUACUGGGCUCAUUCUGACGCUGAGGAACGAAAGCGUGGGUAGCAAACAGGA
RNAcentral lists this ribosomal RNA (404 nucleotides) under Fusobacteriota bacterium. RNAcentral describes it as "Fusobacteria bacterium partial 16S ribosomal RNA". It matches the Rfam family "Bacterial small subunit ribosomal RNA", at positions 355 to 777 of the family's 1533-position model. Lineage: Bacteria; Fusobacteriati; Fusobacteriota. The record is from RNAcentral.